ACAUCUGUGCAGAAGGAGGCACAUCCUGGAGGAAGCAUUUCCCCAUGGGCAGCCCCUGCAGCAGGAAGGAAGGCAAAGCCAGACACGGGCACAGGCACAGCAGAUGCAGCCGGCACCACAACACGUGUUCCUGAUGCCCAGAAGGGCCUCGGAAGGGUCUUUUAUAUGGGAACAGGCUGCUGGGCAGGGGUAAUGGCAGGCCUGCUUCUUUUGGACCUAAUUCUCAUAUUGUGCUGUGUCAAAAUCUGGUGUUACUGGAAGAAGAAAUGGAGCACCUCUGGUGCUAGUCCAGCCAAAUACCUCAGUCAUGGAGAACUUGGCCUGUCAUCGUGCAUCUCCGUGCCAGUGUCCAUUGUCCCUUCCACAGGUGUAUUACCAGCUUGUAGCUGGAAGUAUGCUACAACCACUGCCUAGAACAGAUCCGUCUCUCCCUGAAGGGACUGGCCUAGCUGCCCAUCCAGGACAGGAGGUGCAGCCCUCUAGCCAGGGAAUAGAUUAUUUGAAAGGUUAUAUUUACUUGUAAAAAUUUUAGAUGUUUAUUAAAAACCUUAUUAGAAA
Long non-coding RNA from Passer domesticus (house sparrow), 558 nucleotides. RefSeq lists it as uncharacterized. The record is from RefSeq and is a predicted model, not a curated record. The transcript has 3 exons. Lineage: Eukaryota; Metazoa; Chordata; Aves; Passeriformes; Passeridae.